Molecule: ribosomal RNA, 885 nt
Filed under: uncultured bacterium
Lineage: Bacteria
Description: bacterial SSU rRNA
Rfam family: Bacterial small subunit ribosomal RNA
Source: RNAcentral
UUGUCCNGGAUUAUUGGGCGUAAAGGGAGCGCAGGCGGUCAGGAAAGUCUGGAGUAAAAGGNUAUGGCUCAACCAUAGUGUGCUCUGGAAACUGUCUGACUUGAGUGCAGAAGGGGAGAGUGGAAUUCCAUGUGUAGCGGUGAAAUGCGUAGAUAUAUGGAGGAACACCAGUGGCGAAAGCGGCUCUCUGGUCUGUCACUGACGCUGAGGCUCGAAAGCGUGGGUAGCGAACAGGAUUAGAUACCCUGGUAGUNCACGCCGUAAACGAUGAGUGCUAGGUGUUAGGCCCUUUCCGGGGCUUAGUGCCGGAGCUAACGCAAUAAGCACUCCGCCUGGGGAGUACGACCGCAAGGUUGAAACUCAAAGGAAUUGACGGGGGCCCGCACAAGCGGUGGAGCAUGUGGUUUAAUUCGAAGCAACGCGAAGAACCUUACCAGGUCUUGACAUCCCGAUGCUAUUCUUAGAGAUAGGAAGUUACUUCGGUACAUCGGAGACAGGUGGUGCAUGGUUGUCGUCAGCUCGUGUCGUGAGAUGUUGGGUUAAGUCCCGCAACGAGCGCAACCCUUAUUGUUAGUUGCCAUCAUUAAGUUGGGCACUCUAGCGAGACUGCCGGUAAUAAACCGGAGGAAGGUGGGGAUGACGUCAAAUCAUCACGCCCCUUAUGACCUGGGCUACACACGUGCUACAAUGGUCGGUACAACGAGUUGCGAGCCGGUGACGGCAAGCUAAUCUNUGAAAGCCGAUCUCAGUUCGGAUUGGAGGCUGCAACUCGCCUCCAUGAAGUCGGAAUCGCUAGUAAUCGCGGAUCAGCACGCCGCGGUGAAUACGUUCCCGGGCCUUGUACACACCGCCCGUCACACCACGAGAGUUUGUAACACCCGAAGU